UGUGCCAGCCGCCGCGGUAAUACGUAGGGUCCAAGCGUUAAUCGGAAUUACUGGGCGUAAAGCGUGCGCAGGCGGUUGUGCAAGACCGAUGUGAAAUCCCCGAGCUUAACUUGGGAAUUGCAUUGGUGACUGCACGGCUAGAGUGUGUCAGAGGGGGGUAGAAUUCCACGUGUAGCAGUGAAAUGCGUAGAGAUGUGGAGGAAUACCGAUGGCGAAGGCAGCCCCCUGGGAUAACACUGACGCUCAUGCGCGAAAGCGUGGGGAGCAAACAGGAUUAGAUACCCCAGUAGUCC
This 293-nucleotide ribosomal RNA is filed under the name uncultured bacterium. Its description in RNAcentral is "partial 16S ribosomal RNA". It matches the Rfam family "Bacterial small subunit ribosomal RNA", at positions 504 to 796 of the family's 1533-position model. The record is from RNAcentral.